UUAGUGGCGGACGGGUGAGUAACGCGUGGAAAACCUGCCGUAUACUGGGGGAUAACACUUAGAAAUAGGUGCUAAUACCGCAUAAGCGCACAGCUUCGCAUGAAGCGGUGUGAAAAACUCUGGUGGUAUACCGAUGGUUCCGCGUCUGAUUAGCUAGUUGUGGGGUAAUGGCCUACCAAGGCAACGAUCAGUAGCCGGCCUGAGAGGGUGAACGGCCACAUUGGGACUGAGACACGGCCCAAACUCCUACGGAAGGCAGCAG
RNAcentral lists this ribosomal RNA (262 nucleotides) under uncultured bacterium. Its description in RNAcentral is "partial 16S ribosomal RNA". It matches the Rfam family "Bacterial small subunit ribosomal RNA", at positions 92 to 354 of the family's 1533-position model. The record is from RNAcentral.